AACGAACGCUGGCGGCAUGCCUAACACAUGCAAGUCGAACGAGACCUUCGGGUCUAGUGGCGCACGGGUGCGUAACGCGUGGGAACCUGCCCUUAGGUUCGGAAUAACUCCCCGAAAGGGGUGCUAAUACCGGAUAAUGUCUUCGGACCAAAGAUUUAUCGCCUUUGGAUGGGCCCGCGUUGGAUUAGCUAGUUGGUAGGGUAAAAGCCUACUAAGGCGACGAUCCAUAGCUGGUCUGAGAGGAUGAUCAGCCACUCUGGGACUGAGACACGGCCCAGACUCCUACGGGAGGCAGCAGUGGGGAAUAGUGGACAAUGGGCGAAAGCCUGAUCCAGCAAUGCCGCGUGAGUGAUGAAGGCCUUAGGGUUGUAAAGCUCUUUUACCCGGGAUGAUAAUGACAGUACCGGGAGAAUAAGCUCCGGCUAACUCCGUG
Molecule: ribosomal RNA, 433 nt
Filed under: uncultured bacterium
Lineage: Bacteria
Description: partial 16S ribosomal RNA
Rfam family: Bacterial small subunit ribosomal RNA
Source: RNAcentral